Molecule: long non-coding RNA, 352 nt
Filed under: Homo sapiens (human)
Lineage: Eukaryota; Metazoa; Chordata; Mammalia; Primates; Hominidae
Description: non-protein coding lnc-MLKL-2:1
Source: RNAcentral
UGUUCUUCUUUUUUUUUUCUUUUCUUUUUUUUUUUUUUUGAGACAGAGUCUUGCUGGAGUGCAGUGACACGAUCUUGGCUCACUGCAACCUCUGCUUCCUGGGUUCAAGUGAUUCUUGUGCCUCAGUCACCCCAGUAGUUGGGAUUACAGGCAUGUGCCACCACACCCGGCUAAUUUUUGUAUUUUUAGUAGAGACGGGGUUUCACUAUCUCUACUGACCAGUUUGGCCAGGCUGGUCUCAAACUCCUGACCUCAAGUGAUCUGCCUGACUCGGCCUCCCAAAGUGCUAGGAUUACAGGCAUGAGCCACCACGCCUGGCCUAUUUCAAGAUAUCUUUAUGAGAAAUUCCCAG